UACGUAGGCAGCAAGCGUUGUUCGGAGUUACUGGGCGUAAAGGGGUGCGUAGGCGGCUUCUUAAGUCUGGUGUGAAAUCUCCCGGCUCAACUGGGAGGGUGCGCCGGAUACUGAGGGGCUAGAGUGUGGGAGAGGAAAGUGGAAUUCCUGGUGUAGCGGUGAAAUGCGUAGAUAUCAGGAGGAACACCGGUGGUGUAAACGGCUUUCUGGACCAUAACUGACGCUGAGGCACGAAAGCGUGGGUAGCAAACAGG
This 254-nucleotide ribosomal RNA is filed under the name uncultured bacterium. RNAcentral's name for it is "partial 16S ribosomal RNA". It matches the Rfam family "Bacterial small subunit ribosomal RNA", at positions 524 to 776 of the family's 1533-position model. The record is from RNAcentral.